Molecule: ribosomal RNA, 420 nt
Filed under: uncultured eukaryote
Lineage: Eukaryota
Description: bacterial SSU rRNA
Rfam family: Eukaryotic small subunit ribosomal RNA
Source: RNAcentral
CAAUAGCGUAUAUUAAAGUUGUUGCAGUUAAAAAAGCUCGUAGUUGGAUUUUCUGGGAGGGUGCCAAUGUCCGUCAACGUGCGUGUGCAGCGGCGCCCUUCCAUCCUUCUGUUAACGCCUCUGGGCAUUUAUUUGCUGGUGGCGGGCUCAGAUAUUUUACCUUGAGAAAAUUAGAGUGUUUCAGGCAGGCUAGGCCGGAAUACAUUAGCAUGGAAUAAUAAGAUAGGACCUCGGUUCUAUUUUGUUGGUUUCUAGAGCUGAGGUAAUGAUUAAUAGGGAUAGUUGGGGGGCAUUCGUAUUUAACUGUCAGAGGUGAAAUUCUUGGAUUCGGUCAAGACUAACUUAUGCGAAAGCAUUCACCAAGGAUGUCUUCUUUAAUCAAGAACGAAAGUUGGGGGGAUCGAAGACGAUUAGAUACCA